AACGAAGGGGGGAGGAAUGGAUAACACAUGCAAGUCGAACGAGACCUUCGGGUCUAGUGGCGCACGGGUGCGUAACGCGUGGGAACCUGCCCUUAGGUUCGGAAUAACUCCCCGAAAGGGGUGCUAAUACCGGAUAAUGUCUUCGGACCAAAGAUUUAUCGCCUUUGGAUGGGCCCGCGUUGGAUUAGCUAGUUGGUAGGGUAAAAGCCUACCAAGGCGACGAUCCAUAGCUGGUCUGAGAGGAUGAUCAGCCACACUGGGACUGAGACACGGCCCAGACUCCUACGGGAGGCAGCAGUGGGGAAUAUUGGACAAUGGGCGAAAGCCUGAUCCAGCAAUGCCGCGUGAGUGAUGAAGGCCUUAGGGUUGUAAAGCUCUUUUACCCGGGAUGAUAAUGACAGUACCGGGAGAAUAAGCUCCGGCUAACUCCGUG
Molecule: ribosomal RNA, 433 nt
Filed under: uncultured bacterium
Lineage: Bacteria
Description: partial 16S ribosomal RNA
Rfam family: Bacterial small subunit ribosomal RNA
Source: RNAcentral